Molecule: ribosomal RNA, 699 nt
Filed under: uncultured marine archaeon
Lineage: Archaea
Description: bacterial SSU rRNA
Rfam family: Archaeal small subunit ribosomal RNA
Source: RNAcentral
AGUCAACCUACCCUAUGGACGGGAAUAAUCUCGGGAAACUGAGGAUAAUGCCCGAUAGAACACUAUGCCUGGAACGGCUUGUGUUCCAAAUGAUUUAUCGCCGUAGGAUGGGACUGCGGCCUAUCAGUUUGUUGGUGAGGUAAUGGCCCACCAAGACUAUUACAGGUACGGGCUCUGAGAGGAGUAGCCCGGAGAUGGGUACUGAGACACGGACCCAGGCCCUAUGGGGCGCAGCAGGCGAGAAAACUUUGCAAUGUGCGAAAGCACGACAAGGUUAAUCCGAGUGGUUCCUGCUAAAGGAACCUUUUGACGGUCCUAAAAACACCGUUGAAUAAGGGGUGGGCAAGUUCUGGUGUCAGCCGCCGCGGUAAAACCAGCACCUCAAGUGGUCAGGAUGAUUAUUGGGCCUAAAGCAUCCGUAGCCGGCUCUGUUAGUUUUCGGUUAAAUCUGUGCGCUCAACGUACAGGCUGCCGGGAAUACUGCAGAGCUAGGGAGUGGGAGAGGUAGACGGUACUCGGUAGGAAGGGGUAAAAUCCUUUGAUCUAUUGAUGACCACCUGUGGCGAAGGCGGUCUACCAGAACACGUCCGACGGUGAGGGAUGAAAGCUGGGGGAGCAAACCGGAUUAGAUACCCGGGUAGUCCCAGCUGUAAACUAUGCAAACUCAAUGAUGCACUGGCUCGAAGCCAAUGCAGUGUU